This is a small nucleolar RNA of Salarias fasciatus (jewelled blenny), 88 nucleotides long. The record is from Ensembl. Lineage: Eukaryota; Metazoa; Chordata; Actinopteri; Blenniiformes; Blenniidae.
GCUGUUUCGGUGAUGAUAAUUUGGCUCCCUCUACUGAACACCGUGAGGAGAUUGCCUAUGUUACCCAAUUUUUGUCUGAGAUAACAGC